UGCUUGAGUAGUACUAGGUAUGUUCUUGAAACUUAAAGAAUUUGGCGGUAUCUUAUUCCAUUCAGAGGAAUCUGCCUCGUUAUCGAUAGUCCGCGUUGGACCUUGCUUAGUUGUUAUGGUUUGUAUACCGCCGUUUAUUGAUUAUUCUUUUAGGGUUUGUUAAUUUUCUGGUUUCUCUAUUUUGAUUUAUUUCAGGUCAAGGUGCAGCUUGUUUCUAAGUGUUAUUGGUGGAUUACAUUGUUCUUUGUUGUUUGGAUUGCUGGUUGGAUUAUUGGUAUGAAAUUGGAUUUGAUUGUAAUGUCUUGAAGAUUGUUUUCGUGAUAUGGGUUCUAAGAUAUG
Molecule: ribosomal RNA, 339 nt
Filed under: Coptotermes pamuae
Lineage: Eukaryota; Metazoa; Arthropoda; Insecta; Blattodea; Rhinotermitidae
Description: Coptotermes pamua partial 12S ribosomal RNA
Source: RNAcentral